GCUUCUGUGGCUCAGUGGUAGAGCGCGUCCUUGGUAAGGACGAGGUCGUGAGUUCAAUCCUCGCCAGAAGCU
This 72-nucleotide transfer RNA is filed under the name Candidatus Diapherotrites archaeon CG09_land_8_20_14_0_10_32_12. Its description in RNAcentral is "tRNA-Thr". It matches the Rfam family "tRNA". Rfam says of the family: Transfer RNA (tRNA) molecules are approximately 80 nucleotides in length. Their secondary structure includes four short double-helical elements and three loops (D, anti-codon, and T loops). The record is from RNAcentral. RNAcentral also lists the same sequence under 1 other name. Lineage: Archaea; Nanobdellati; Candidatus Iainarchaeota.